Molecule: long non-coding RNA, 275 nt
Organism: Leopardus geoffroyi (Geoffroy's cat)
Lineage: Eukaryota; Metazoa; Chordata; Mammalia; Carnivora; Felidae
Exons: 2
Source: RefSeq, a predicted model, not a curated record
UGACAGCGGAGAGCCCGAUGGAGGGCUUGAACUCAUGAACCGUGAGAUCGUGACGUGAGCUGAAGUCGGAUGCUUCACCGACUGAGCUACCCAGGUACCACCCUCCCGUCCGUUUAUACAUGCUUCAUAGAGCAGCCAAUUCAGCAAUAAAUCCUAAGAUAUAAAAUUUUUUUUUACGUCUUUAUAAAUACAGAGAUAAAUAAAGAGGUUACAGAUAGAGAAGAUUCUAAAAGUUGCAUGGAUGUGCAGCACCCUAGAAUAGACCAAAUAAAUUU